This 302-nucleotide ribosomal RNA is filed under the name uncultured bacterium. Its description in RNAcentral is "partial 16S ribosomal RNA". It matches the Rfam family "Bacterial small subunit ribosomal RNA", at positions 508 to 807 of the family's 1533-position model. The record is from RNAcentral.
GCAGCAGCCGCGGGAAUACCGAGGCCUCAAGCGUUGUUCGGAUUCAUUGGGCGUAAAGGGUGCGUAGGUGGCUUGGUAAGUUGAAGGUGAAAUCUCGGGGCUUAACCCCGAAACUGCCUUCAAUACUGCUAGGCUCGAGGACUGUAGAGGAGAAUGGAAUUCACGGUGUAGCAGUGAAAUGCGUAGAUAUCGUGAGGAAGACCAGUGGCGAAGGCGAUUCUCUGGGCAGUUCCUGACACUGAGGCACGAAGGCCAGGGGAGCAAACGGGAUUAGAUACCCCGGUAGUCCCUGUCUCUUAUAC